RNAcentral lists this ribosomal RNA (423 nucleotides) under uncultured bacterium. Its description in RNAcentral is "bacterial SSU rRNA". It matches the Rfam family "Bacterial small subunit ribosomal RNA", at positions 207 to 622 of the family's 1533-position model. The record is from RNAcentral.
AAGACCUUGCGCUUUUGGAGCGGCCGAUGUCUGAUUAGCUUGUUGGUGAGGUAAAGGCUUACCAAGGCUUCGAUCAGUAGCUGGUCUGAGAGGACGGCCAGCCACACUGGGACUGAGACACGGCCCAGACUCCUACGGGAGGCAGCAGUGGGGAAUUUUGGACAAUGGGGGCAACCCUGAUCCAGCCAUGCCGCGUGAGUGAAGAAGGCCUUCGGGUUGUAAGGCUCUUUCAGCCGGAACGAAACGGUUACGAUUAAUACCCGUAACUACUGACGGUACCGGAAGAAGAAGCACCGGCUAACUACGUGCCAGCAGCCGCGGUAAUACGUAGGGUGCGAGCGUUAAUCGGAAUUACUGGGCGUAAAGCGUGCGCAGGUGGUUUUGUAAGUCAGAUGUGAAAUCCCCGGGCUUAACCUGGGAACU